GAUGAACGCUGGCGGCGUGCUUAACACAUGCAAGUCGAACGGAAAGGCUCCUGCUUGCAGGGGUUCUCGAGUGGCGAACGGGUGAGUAACACGCGGGUGAUCUGCCCUGCACUUCGGGAUAAGCCUGGGAAACUGGGUCUCAUACCGGAUAGGACGAUGGUUUGGAUGCCAUUGUGGAAAGUUUUUUCGGUGUGGAUGAGCUCGCGGCCUAUCAGCUUGUUGGUGGGGUAAUGGCCUACCAAGGCGUCGACGGGUAGCCGGCCUGGGAGGGUGUACGGCCACAUUGGGACUGAGAUACGGCCCAGACGCCUACGGGAGGCAGCAGUGGGGAGUAUUGCACAAUGGGCGCGAGCCUGAUGCAGCGACGCCGCGUGGGGGAUGACGGCCUUCGGGUUGUAAACUCCUUUCGCUGGGGACGAAGCGCAAGUGACGGUACCUGGAGAAGAAGCACCGGCUAACUACGUG
This 465-nucleotide ribosomal RNA is filed under the name uncultured bacterium. RNAcentral describes it as "partial 16S ribosomal RNA". It matches the Rfam family "Bacterial small subunit ribosomal RNA", at positions 28 to 507 of the family's 1533-position model. The record is from RNAcentral.